Molecule: ribosomal RNA, 240 nt
Filed under: uncultured bacterium
Lineage: Bacteria
Description: partial 16S ribosomal RNA
Rfam family: Bacterial small subunit ribosomal RNA
Source: RNAcentral
UACAACAUAGGAAAUCUGCCUUAGGGUGGGGGACAACAGAGGGAAACUUCUGCUAAUACCCCAUAUGAGCUUGGUUGAAAUACCAAUCUUGAAAGUUCCGGCGCCCUAAGAUGAGCCUGUGCCUGAUUAGCUAGUUGGUGGUGUAAUGGACUACCAAGGCAACGAUCAGUAGCUGGUUUGAGAGGAUGAUCAGCCACAAUGGGACUGAGACACGGCCCAUACUCCUACGGAAGGCAGCAG